Molecule: ribosomal RNA, 544 nt
Filed under: Fusarium graminearum
Lineage: Eukaryota; Fungi; Ascomycota; Sordariomycetes; Hypocreales; Nectriaceae
Description: eukaryotic LSU rRNA
Rfam family: 5.8S ribosomal RNA (bases 187-340)
Source: RNAcentral
GGUGUCGGUCUCCGUUGGUGACCAGCGGAGGGUCAUUACCGAGUUUACAACUCCCAAACCCCUGUGAACAUACCUUAUGUUGCCUCGGCGGAUCAGCCCGCGCCCCGUAAAAAGGGACGGCCCGCCGCAGGAACCCUAAACUCUGUUUUUAGUGGAACUUCUGAGUAUAAAAAACAAAUAAAUCAAAACUUUCAACAACGGAUCUCUUGGUUCUGGCAUCGAUGAAGAACGCAGCAAAAUGCGAUAAGUAAUGUGAAUUGCAGAAUUCAGUGAAUCAUCGAAUCUUUGAACGCACAUUGCGCCCGCCAGUAUUCUGGCGGGCAUGCCUGUUCGAGCGUCAUUUCAACCCUCAAGCCCAGCUUGGUGUUGGGAGCUGCAGUCCUGCUGCACUCCCCAAAUACAUUGGCGGUCACGUCGAGCUUCCAUAGCGUAGUAAUUUACACAUCGUUACUGGUAAUCGUCGCGGCCACGCCGUUAAACCCCAACUUCUGAAUGUUGACCUCGGAUCAGGUAGGAAUACCCGCUGAACUUAAGCAUAUCAAAA